GCUUGUGAUGUGUAUAUGAUGGAAUUAAAUAUUAUAUCGACUACAUGAUAAUGGAUAGGCAAUCCCGCCUACGCUAACGGUAUACGCUGACUGGUUGAAAAUGAAAAAGCAGGUCCAGAAAGUUGUUAUCUGUUGAGAAUAUCCCGCAAG
Galleria mellonella (greater wax moth) is the source of this 150-nucleotide long non-coding RNA. RefSeq lists it as uncharacterized. The record is from RefSeq and is a predicted model, not a curated record. Lineage: Eukaryota; Metazoa; Arthropoda; Insecta; Lepidoptera; Pyralidae. The transcript is spliced from 3 exons.